UGGGGAAUCUUGGACAAUGGGGGCAACCCUGAUCCAGCGACGCCGCGUGGGUGGUAAGGCCUUCGGGUUGUAAAGCCCUUUCACCGGGGAAGGUGAUGACAUUACCCGGAGAAGAAGCUCCGGCUAACUCCGUGCCAGCAGCCGCGGUAAUACGGAGGGGGCUAGCGUUGUUCGGAAUUACUGGGCGUAAAGCGCGCGUAGGCGGCUUUUCAAGUCAGGGGUGAAAUCCCGGGGCUCAACCCCGGAACUGCCCUUGAAACUGGAUGGCUAGAAUACUGGAGAGGUGAGUGGAAUUCCGAGUGUAGAGGUGAAAUUCGUAGAUAUUCGGAAGAACACCAGUGGCGAAGGCGACUCACUGGACAGUUAUUGACGCUGAGGUGCGAAAGCGUGGGGAGCAAACAGGAUUAGAUACCCGUGUAGUCC
Molecule: ribosomal RNA, 423 nt
Filed under: uncultured prokaryote
Description: bacterial SSU rRNA
Rfam family: Bacterial small subunit ribosomal RNA
Source: RNAcentral